Molecule: long non-coding RNA, 491 nt
Organism: Hemicordylus capensis (graceful crag lizard)
Lineage: Eukaryota; Metazoa; Chordata; Lepidosauria; Squamata; Cordylidae
Exons: 2
Source: RefSeq, a predicted model, not a curated record
CAACAGGCGUAUUAGUCUAAACACCGUGGUAAGAUAAGGCCGGUAACAGAAUGUAAGCAUACAUUGCUUAUACUUAAAAUGGUUUAUCUGAGGAAGUAACAAUUAGUUAUGAAACUAAUAUAAUAAUAUCCGGAAAAUCUGUAAUAUUGCAUAUCGUUCGCUAUACUGUACUGCACAUGGAUUUGGCUUUGAAAGUGUAAGAUUAAACUACACAGAUUGUCUCCUCUUGGAAUAUAUGGAGAAGGAGACGUAUCAUCAUAUUACUGAAUUAAGAAGAGAAACAUCCUCCCCACUGGAUUCCACGGGAUUUGCACUUCUACUGUGAACUAAUACAUCUACAGGAUAAGAACUGUUUAUCCCUGUAUGGGAAGUUGUAACAUACAUCUGGGGGAAUACUUCUUGUUAUAUAUGUUUAUGUACUUUGUUAUAUCCGGUGUGUAAGCUAUUUUGGCUCUGAUAUGUUUAUCAGAUAAAUUUAUUGUGGAAGUUAA